RNAcentral lists this ribosomal RNA (253 nucleotides) under uncultured bacterium. RNAcentral describes it as "partial 16S ribosomal RNA". It matches the Rfam family "Bacterial small subunit ribosomal RNA", at positions 524 to 776 of the family's 1533-position model. The record is from RNAcentral.
UACGAAGGGGGCUAGCGUUGUUCGGAAUUACUGGGCGUAAAGCGCGCGCAGGCGGUCUUCCAAGUCAGUGGUGAAAGCCCGGAGCUCAACUCCGGAAAUGCCAUUGAAACUGUGAGACUUGAGGAUGAGAGAGGUGAGUGGAAUUCCCAGUGUAGAGGUGAAAUUCGUAGAUAUUGGGAAGAACACCGGUGGCGAAGGCGGCUCACUGGCUCAUUUCUGACGCUCAGGCGCGACAGCGUGGGGAUCAAACAGG